UACGUAGGGUGCGAGCGUUAAUCGGAAUUACUGGGCGUAAAGCGUGCGCAGGCGGUUUUGUAAGCCAGAUGUGAAAUCCCCGGGCUUAACCUGGGAAUGGCAUUUGGGACUGCAAGGCUGGAGUGCGGCAGAGGGGGAUGGAAUUCCGCGUGUAGCAGUGAAAUGCGUAGAUAUGCGGAGGAACACCGAUGGCGAAGGCAAUCCCCUGGGCCUGCACUGACGCUCAUGCACGAAAGCGUGGGGAGCAAACAGG
This 253-nucleotide ribosomal RNA is filed under the name uncultured bacterium. RNAcentral describes it as "partial 16S ribosomal RNA". It matches the Rfam family "Bacterial small subunit ribosomal RNA", at positions 524 to 776 of the family's 1533-position model. The record is from RNAcentral.